UAAUUAGAAAAAUGAAAGUCCAAGUAAAUAUUCUUAAAAAAUUUAUAUUCAAGCUCAAAUUAAACAUGAUCUAAGCAACCUAACCUAAUUAAGAUCUAAACUAAACAAGCUAUGAAAUACAUAAACAUAACUAUUGUCAACAUAAAAUUUACUAAUCAUUUUAUGAUAAAAAAAGCAAGAAAAACAAGAGAACCUUAUCUAAAAUAUUAUAAGUCCAAAGCUUUCUCUUGGUGGUCUUUAAGGGACCAAAAACAAACUUCAUCCACUCAUAGCCACACCCCUAUCGUUAUUAAAAUUGCCAAUAACCAACCCUUAUUUUACACAACUCUCUCACUCUAAGGCCUUCCACUCUUUAUGGUUCACUGACAC
Molecule: long non-coding RNA, 369 nt
Filed under: Trifolium pratense (red clover)
Lineage: Eukaryota; Viridiplantae; Streptophyta; Magnoliopsida; Fabales; Fabaceae
Description: long non-coding RNA (TPRA_LNC008452)
Source: RNAcentral